Molecule: ribosomal RNA, 431 nt
Filed under: uncultured bacterium
Lineage: Bacteria
Description: bacterial SSU rRNA
Rfam family: Bacterial small subunit ribosomal RNA
Source: RNAcentral
AACGAACGCUGGCGGCAGGCCUAACACAUGCAAGUCGAGCGCCCAGCAAUGGGAGCGGCAGACGGGUGAGUAACGCGUGGGAACCUUCCCAGUGGUACGGAAUAGCUCAGGGAAACUUGAGGUAAUACCGUAUACGCCCGAAAGGGGAAAGAUUUAUCGCCAUUGGAUGGGCCCGCGUAGGAUUAGCUAGUUGGUGAGGUAACGGCUCACCAAGGCGACGAUCCUUAGCUGGUCUGAGAGGAUGAUCAGCCACACUGGGACUGAGACACGGCCCAGACUCCUACGGGAGGCAGCAGUGGGGAAUCUUGGACAAUGGGCGCAAGCCUGAUCCAGCCAUGCCGCGUGGGUGACGAAGGUCUUCGGAUUGUAAAGCUCUUUUGGCGGGGACGAUAAUGACGGUACCCGCAGAAUAAGCCCCGGCUAACUUCGUG